UCCUUCCCUUACAACAUUGGUAAAAUUUAAAAUAGUUAGCCCGUGACAUGAGAUGUUAACACUUUCAAAAAGGUAGAUAAUGGUUUAGAGUUUGAAAAAUUAAGUUGACACUAACUUACGUUAACAUAUAUCCUCCACACCCUAUUGAUCUCAUUAUUCUAGCUAAUCUUAAGUUUUUUGCUUGGUUUUCGUGCUCUAAAAAAUGGGAAUAAAUGAACUACACAUGC
Molecule: long non-coding RNA, 227 nt
Filed under: Carica papaya (papaya)
Lineage: Eukaryota; Viridiplantae; Streptophyta; Magnoliopsida; Brassicales; Caricaceae
Description: long non-coding RNA (CPAP_LNC011954)
Source: RNAcentral